CCAAUGAGCGAGAGGCCCCCGGGCUUCUCGUACUGCCUGCUUGGCCAUGUUAACCCGUGGCCAACUGGUUAACCCUUUGUGAACCAAAAAACCUUUCGCUUCGGCAGCUGGGUCCUAACAGACCUGUCAGCCUGCCGCUAGCACCUUCAAAAACUUGUUGUCAAAACAUUGUCUGAUAACCAAAUUUUCGAAUGAAAAUUA
RNAcentral lists this unclassified non-coding RNA (201 nucleotides) under uncultured Arthrobotrys. RNAcentral's name for it is "sequence contains ITS1". The record is from RNAcentral. Lineage: Eukaryota; Fungi; Ascomycota; Orbiliomycetes; Orbiliales; Orbiliaceae.